Molecule: ribosomal RNA, 818 nt
Filed under: uncultured bacterium
Lineage: Bacteria
Description: bacterial SSU rRNA
Rfam family: Bacterial small subunit ribosomal RNA
Source: RNAcentral
AGAGUUUGAUCCUGGCUCAGAGUGAACGCUGGCGGCGUGCUUAACACAUGCAAGUCGAACGAGAACGGAUUAUAGCUUGCUAUAAUUGUCAGCUAAGUGGCGCACGGGUGAGUAAUAUAUAGAUAACCUGCCCUCAAGAAAGGAAUAACAGUUGGAAACGACUGCUAAUGCCCUAUAUGCCUUUAAUACAUAAGUAUGCAAGGGAAACGCUUUAGUGCUUGAGGAUGGGUCUGUAUGGUAUCAGCUUGUUGGUGAGGUAAUGGCUCACCAAGGCUAUGACGCCUAACUGGUUUGAGAGGAUGAUCAGUCACACUGGAACUGAGACACGGUCCAGACUCCUACGGGAGGCAGCAGUGGGGAAUAUUGCACAAUGGACGAAAGUCUGAUGCAGCAACGCCGCGUGGAGGAUGACACAUUUCGGUGCGUAAACUCCUUUUAUAUAGGAAGAUAAUGACGGUACUAUAUGAAUAAGCACCGGCUAACUCCGUGCCAGCAGCUGCGGUAAUACGGAGGGUGCAAGCGUUACUCGGAAUCACUGGGCGUAAAGAGCGUGUAGGCGGGUAUAUAAGUCAGAAGUGAAAUCCAAUAGCUUAACUAUUGAACUGCUUUUGAAACUGUAUACCUAGAAUGUGGGAGAGGUAGAUGGAAUUUCUGGUGUAGGGGUAAAAUCCGUAGAGAUCAGAAGGAAUACCGAUUGCGAAGGCGAUCUACUGGAACAUUAUUGACGCUGAGACGCGAAAGCGUGGGGAGCAAACAGGAUUAGAUACCCUGGUAGUCCACGCCCUAAACGAUGCACACUAGUUGUUGUGAGGCUCGAC